Molecule: ribosomal RNA, 288 nt
Filed under: uncultured bacterium
Lineage: Bacteria
Description: partial 16S ribosomal RNA
Rfam family: Bacterial small subunit ribosomal RNA
Source: RNAcentral
GUGGAUUAGAUAUCCUAGUAGUCCACGCCGUAAACGGUGGGUACUAGGUGUGGGUUUCCUUCCUUGGGAUCCGUGCCGUAGCUAACGCAUUAAGUACCCCGCCUGGGGAGUACGGCCGCAAGGCUAAAACUCAAAGGAAUUGACGGGGGCCCGCACAAGCGGCGGAGCAUGUGGAUUAAUUCGAUGCAACGCGAAGAACCUUACCUGGGUUUGACAUGCACAGGACGCCGGCAGAGAUGUCGGUUCCCUUGUGGCCUGUGUGCAGGUGGUGCACGGCUGUCGCCAACU